This 450-nucleotide ribosomal RNA is filed under the name uncultured bacterium. Its description in RNAcentral is "bacterial SSU rRNA". It matches the Rfam family "Bacterial small subunit ribosomal RNA", at positions 354 to 796 of the family's 1533-position model. The record is from RNAcentral.
GUCGAGAAUCUUUCGCAAUGGGCGAAAGCCUGACGAAGCGACGCCGUGUGAAUGAAGAAGGCCUUCGGGUUGUAAAGUUCUUUCGCCUGGGAACAAGGGAUAUAUAUAAAUAAUAUGUAAACUUGAGGGUACUAGGUAAAGAAGCACCGGCUAACUCCGUGCCAGCAGCUGCGGUAAUACGGAGGGUGCAAGCAUUAAUCGGAAUUACUGGGCGUAAAGGGCGCGUAGGCGGUUUGGAAAGUCACAUGUGAAAUUUCAGGACUUAACCCUGGAGCUGCAUGUGAAACUCUCAAACUGGAGGUAAAGCGGAGAAAAUGGAAUUCCCCAAGUAGCGGUGAAAUGCGUAGAUAUGGGGAGGAACACCGGUGGUGAAGGCGAUUUUCUAGCUUUAAACUGACGCUGAUGCGCGAAAGCGGGGGGAGCAAACAGGAUUAGAAACCCUGGUAGUCC